This 771-nucleotide ribosomal RNA is filed under the name uncultured Acaulosporaceae. Its description in RNAcentral is "eukaryotic LSU rRNA". It matches the Rfam family "Eukaryotic large subunit ribosomal RNA", at positions 11 to 694 of the family's 3401-position model. Lineage: Eukaryota; Fungi; Glomeromycota; Glomeromycetes; Diversisporales; Acaulosporaceae. The record is from RNAcentral.
GUCAAGUAAGAAUACCCGCUGAACUUAAGCAUAUCAAUAAGCGGAGGAAAAGAAACUAACUAGGAUUCCCUUAGUAACGGCGAGUGAACCGGGAAGAGCUCAAAUUUUAAAUCACCUUGGUGAAUUGUAAUUUGAAGAAAGUGUUUUGACUUUUCAGUUUAAUCCAAAUCCUUUGGGAUGAGGUAUCACAGAGGGUGAGAAUCCCGUUCGUGAUUAGACAUCGGAAUGCAUUAAAUUCACUUUCCAAGAGUCGAGUUGUUUGGGAUUGCAGCUCCAAAUGGGUGGUAAAUUUCACCUAAGGCUAAAUAUAUGCAAGAGACCGAUAGCGAACAAGUACCGUGAGGGAAAGAUGAAAAGUACUUUGAAAAGAGAGUUAAACAGUACGUGAAAUUGUUGAAAGGGAAACGAUUGAAGUCAGUCAUGCUAGUGAGGAAUCAACUUGGUGGUUUACUUCCUUGUGUAUUUUCUUACUUGGCAGGUUAGCAUCAAUUUUGGUUGUCAUCAAAUAAUUGGGGGAAUGUGGCUUUUCUUCGGGAAAGUGUUAUAGACCUUGAUAGAUGUGGCGACUGAGAUUGAGGUUUGCAGCGAAUGCCUUUGGCUAGUCAUCUGUCUUCUGACCGUCACCUCGCUUUUGACAGCUUGCUGAUGAUUGUGAGAUUUGUCAGUUUAGAAUUUAGAUUGAACAUAAAUUCGCUAAGGAUGCUGACGUAAUGGCUUUAAACGACCCGUCUUGAAACACGGACCAAGGAGUCUAACAUGUGUGCGAGUGUU